Lethenteron reissneri (Far Eastern brook lamprey) is the source of this 8464-nucleotide RNA transcript. It is a transcript of the gene named RAD51 associated protein 1, with no coding region annotated. The record is from RefSeq and is a predicted model, not a curated record. Lineage: Eukaryota; Metazoa; Chordata; Hyperoartia; Petromyzontiformes; Petromyzontidae.
UCGCCCCCGUGUGUUGCAAAGCCGCUUUCGCGGCAACUCCGCAACGCGUUAAUCACUAAUUGUUUAUAUUUUAUUAAUAUUUAACGUUCACUUCCCUCACGUUUGAGGAAAAUACCCUCAUCGCUAUUGUUACUGUCGUCACCGCGGCUCUUAUCCGCGUGUUUUUUUUAUUAUUUCAUGCGCCGUGACCGAAAGGCAGGCAGGGCCCUCUUUCUUUGCCUUCACCGCCUGAAGCGAACGCGAAGUUCUGCCGAGCUGCGGCGAUUAAUGAAUGAGCGCUAUUUAAUUAAGAGUUGGAUUGCUCGGCUUAAUUGGUCGCGUCGGUUGUUUUAUUGGGGGGAUGAGCGGAUUUUAACUUGAAUCGAUAUGUCCCGAUCACUCAGAAUCAAGAAAGCAGUUGAUUACACUCAGCCUAAGGACUUUGAAGACGAUGACGAUGAUUUCUCAUCGGCCUCUCUUCCGCCAAGCAAAAGAUCUCGGGUGGUGACCAAUUCUGACGAUGGAGAUGGCGACAAGGCAAAGAGAAAGCCUGAAAAGAGGGCCUUGAGCGGAACCAAGAAGUCCAGUCAAGACACGGCCUUGAACACAGCAGCAAAAACAGCAAGAGACGAAAGACCAUCCCUGGAUGAGCGUCUCUUUGAGAGGGACCUCAAGAAGGUCCUUGCCCUCGCUGGUGAUCAGACGGAAAUCGCGGUGUCUUCGCGGGAGAGUUCACAGGAAGCCAUGGGCAGUGCCAACGUCAACACUGACGACGCAGCCGACGACGAGACGGGCGAGUCCUCCGAGUCUGCUGGGGAGUCGGACAGCGAUGACAGCAACUACAAGAAGCCCGUCAGGAGGUCCAAGGCACCCAGGUCCACUGCUGCAGCCACCGCCGCGGACAGGAGAGGGACCAAAGCAGCCGUGGCCAGGGGCAGCAGAAUAAAGGGCGCGGCACGUGGAGCCAGGGCGGAUGUUGGGCCAGAUCCUGCACCUCGACAAUCACCGAAACGCAGCCCCCCGCCUGUCCUCAAUAAAGCCGGUGUCACAGCUCGUGCCACGGCAUCGCGUAAACCCAAGUGGGUUCCUCCAGCUCCAGCGAGUAAAAACAAUGGCCUGUCACCGGGCACAACAAACCAAUCGCCAGGUCCGACCUUGCGUCUUGGCCUCUCGAAACGAGCCAAGCUGACGCCACUCCACCCCGGCUCUACGUGAAACUGCCACGGACCAACACGGCCCGCCACAGCCGCCAGCCACUGACUCUUUCCACAUGCCAUGGACUGUCCCACAGUCAACAUCUAAGCCAUUCCACUUGCCACGGUCUGCGACUGAGCCAUUCCAAAUACCAAUCACUGCCACAGUCUGCCACUGAACCAUGGCCUUGUCUGGGACAACCACUGACCCAUUCAACUGCCAAGGGCUACUACCACUGACAGCCCAAGUGCAACUCAACUUGCCAUUACUCAACAUAUACAAGACCCGCCAUGCCUCACUAGGUAUGGUCUGCUAUAAGCUAACCUGACUUGCCACGAGUGCACACUGCCAUACAAGCUACCGUAGAGAUUGCCACAGCCCGCUGUGAGGUGACUGCUACCUGCCUGCAGCGACGGCCUAAAACGUGGCUUCUAGACUGACUUGAACCACCGCCGAAGUCAACUUCACCUGCCAUGGCUUUUCCCUGGCUGCCCUGACCGGCCAUAGCUGAAAUCUGAGGCACGGUUUAAUAGUGAAAGCCCUUUAUUCCAUUUUAAUAGCACGGCUUUUUUUAGCACGUGGUUGAAAAUCAUCUGAAUAACUUAGUUUUAAUGAUUUUUGUUAGAGUCUGUAGAGCAGUUUAGUACUGAAUUUUGCAUACUGUUAUAUACCACGAGUAUUUUGUGUAAACUUUGACGCAAGACUGGUUAUAAUUACGUAUGACGUCGCAAGAUAUUGCCUGGACUCUCACUCGGUUUCAGGAAACUAGAAAUGUUUUCAUCCUGGGCUCGCUGCACAACUCUCAACCCAUUGUCCUGAAAUUUAAAGAUGUGACCCAAAACUCAAACGGCUGUUAUCUUGCAGCUACAUACCGAUAUUGUGUUCCCAGGACACGCAGCCUAGGGAUGCGUCUGAAAGAGAAGAGCUACAGAUUUUCCUCGCAAUAUGCGGGUUCGGUUUGUGCGAAUUUGCGCUGUAUAUUUAUCCCCAAAAUUCGUUAUAUGCGGUUUCACGGCUAUGCGGUCGGACGUGGGAAACAUUGUGUGCGUGUACUGUACACGCUACUCGGCAGGCAGCUGUAUUCUUGUGCGGUUUCGCUUUGUAUUCCCUUUUUUUGGUACGCAUCUACUACUACCGCAUAAAUCUAGGAAAACCUGUCCUUGUUAUGUUUUGCUUGCAUCUAGAAGGGUUUAGGGGUCUGGAUGCAAUGUGGCUUCGUGCUCCUUUACCACAAGACAUUCCAAAUGCCUGCCCUCAGAAAUACAAUCCACGUUUUAAUAUACAGUGUUACCUCGGUAUACGCCAUUAAUUUGUUCCAGAAGGUAGGACUUAUACCGAAAAUGACGUAUACCAAAUGAAUUUUUUCCGUAAGAAAUAAAGGGAAAGUAAAUAAUCCAUUCCAGAGUAUAAGAAAUAAUAUUUUAUAUGGCAUAUUAUACAUUAAUGGGGUUGUAUAAAAUAAUUUAGACACUACUUAUUACUAAAAUGCAUACGUAAAUUAAAAUAAAUGCAUGAAUCAAAAUACAUUUAAAUAAAAUGUAACAUCACUUUACCUUGCUUAGAGGAGUUGAUAGCCUACGAGGAUGGUGGUGAGUAAGGGGAGGAGACGUGAACGGGGUCUACGCGGGUACGCGGUGACUCGUCCCGACCCAUACAAGGUCUAGCAAGCGCGUCGUAUCCCAAGCAAGACGUCGUAUCCCAAGACAUUUUUUUCUCAAAACACGACGUAUACCAAAUUCGACGUAUUCCAAAGUGGUCGUAUACCGAGGUAUGACUGUAUACACAAAUAAGAUUAGUGCAGCAGCAACAGGUAACGGUUUUAAUUUGCAUUUUCAUAGAGAAGACCGGUCAGUGUAUAAAGCUGGACUGUACAGGGGCCCUUAGAUGUGGACAUUUAAUGUAUCUUUUAUAAGACAUUGCAUGAGAAUACUGUAUUAUUAUGUCAGUCUAUAUAAAGCAAUUCGGUUGAUUUAAAAAGAACGGUUUUUAAUAUGCUUUGUGAGUGAAAAAGACAAAUCUCGACGUCAGUGGCCUUCAUGAAUAAGAAUGGCCUCAAACGGUUGUUGUGAUGGUAGUCAAGGCAGCCGUGGCUGUGAGACCUUGCUAAUGCUUUACCUAUGGUGAGAGGCCUCUCCCUGGAGCUGAUACGUUGCACUGUGUGCUGGGCAUGUAAAUUGUUCCAUCGAUUGACAUCGAUUAGGGUUACCUACAUCGAUUUCGGCAUCUUAAAAAUGUCUUAACUGUUUACGUAAAUUACCUGCAAAUCAUAUACUCGUGGAAUUUUUGUCUAAUGGAACAAGCAAGAUGUGACGGAAUACAAAAUACGAAACAGGAAAUAUAAUAAAUGAGUAUUCAAGAGACAAAUACAAAUGUAUUGAAUCAUAACACUGGUCAACACACUUUUUCUGGCAAAAAACGGUUUUAAGGUAAUUUUGGGAUGCUGAUUCCAAAUCUGCAUCAGUUUUUGUCUAUCACAUCAGGUUUUUGAAAUAUCAAAUAUUGCAUUUUUAAUAAAAACUGCAGAAGAAAAAUAUUAAAUAAAUGUGGAUAUCUACAUAAAAUGAUAUUAUAAACACACUAUCCUAAAAAUACAGCACCAUAUUUUAACACUAAAGCAGUCACUGACUCGCAACAACUUGCAAUCAUAAGUGAGUUAAUUUCGGGUAAAAUCAAUGAAAAUGGGGUAUGCCGAUAGCAUAGAAUGAGAUGUGAUAGAGCAAAUCUGAGAUCAGAUUUGGAAUCAGCACCCUGAAAUUAGUCUAAAACAGUGUAACCAGUGUAAUCAUAGCUCGAAUCCUGACAAUUCAUUAAAUGACUGGCAAGGUGAAUCGAACUUGAUACAUACACACAAACACAUACUGGAUUACCGCUCCGUUUUCGGCUUGGGAACUGCUGCGUAACCGGGCGUGUGAGUGCACGCACAAUUACUGUCGUGCCCGCGAAAGAAGCUGUUUGCAUAGUUGCGUGAUUUUGUUUUCUUCGUCGUACCCAUUUGCUGUGAAGCGUGUGCCAAAUUGGCUACUAAAGCCACGUUUGCAGAGUUCACCAUGGAAACGACAAACUAAUCAAAACUGUCAUUUUGUUGUUGCGUGGCAUGAAGGAUGAGAAUCCACGAUCGCUCGCCAGUGUUUCGUCAGGCUUGGCCGCGUGUUGCUCGGCGUGAUGUCCGAUGUUUCGCUGCACGUGGUACAACCCGAAAACGAUCGAGAGAGCCACACAGCAGCAUAACCGCGACAACCUCCAUUGCUCCUCCCGCACUACUGCACAAAAAGUGUGCAAGCAUGGGCAUAAAAUUGUCUUCUGAUAACACAAAAGAGAGUAAUGUUUCCAAGUGGUAUUUAUUUAAGUUGUGGCAACCUUGUUAACUCCGUUAUAAUCGUACUUGUAAUCCACCUAAUUGCGUCAUAAUUUAUUUACCCGAGGCAGCCUCAACGAAUCUUAAAGUGUUUGUUUUUGGAGGAUUCCUACUUUGCAAGGUUUUGCUAUUUCAUGAAUAUUUUUCGUCACGUGUGGAAGACGUUAACAGCUUAAAGUAUCGUCGUUUUCACACGCUGUUAUGAUCCAAUGACCAAUGGUGUUGCGCAUAUCUAUGCUGGGAAGUCCAUGUCGCUCUGAAAUUCCACAUUCCCAUGGCAGUGCAGUGCGAAUGAUAACAGAGCCCUUCUAAAUCGUCACGUGCAGCCUCUAUGCCUGAAUUGUACUUGCAAAUCAUCCAAUGGCAUGUCAAAUAUUAACUUGACCGCUGACUGUAUGUUGACUGUACGGUUUCCUCUGUACUGCGACUACAUCUUAAAACGCUGUACACACAACGCGAACGUGUACGUAGUGGGAACAUGAGACAGAUAUGGUUGUUUAGGCUGUGUUCAGAGAGAAUGGGAGAUAGAGGAGACGUCAGGGAAGAGAGGGUAGAAGGCACUUCAUUGGGGAGUCAUAGACAGAAGAGAAGAGGGUGGCAUUCAGUCUGCCACCUGAACGCUUAAAUAUUACCAAAGCAGAAAAGUAUAAAUUCGUCAUGUUCUGGAUACUUCUGCAUCAUUUAUACGUUUGGGUCCCAGUAUUCGCAGACUCCUCAAUGUUCAUAGACCCGGUGCCGUUUUCCGAACAGGCCACACCGUGCUGUCUGUGCAGUUAAAUAAAUGCCGCUUGGGAAAUAUUGGUCAGUCAGCUGGACGACUUGACAGACUAAACUUAGUUAAUGUACUGUAUUAUCGAUUGUGUGAACAUCUUUUAAAGCAUGUUUUAUUGUCAAAGAAUAUAUUAAAUUACACAUGCAUCUUGUAAUGAAGAAGAGGUAUUUGUGAAUAAAACGUGUUUAUUGGCGUUGUUGAGUGUUUAGUAAUUCAUAUCGCUUGUGGCGGUCAAAUGCAUCUGUGCGUAUGCAGUUAUAUUCAUGCAACCCGCAUGUCCAGCCACCGCAAGACUCAAAUUCAGCUAAGCUCAACAAAUGUCCCCGAACUAUUGAGCCCAUCCAGCAAGUCACCUGUCGCGUGGUGUCACGCUAUAAAAAUGUGAACGAACAUCUUUUUUUGCUUCUACUACACGUGGAGUGACGGGUUUACCUUGUUUACGUCUACACGUGUGCGCUCGUCACCUUUCGACUUUGCGUUCAGAGAGAAACCCCCCCCACCGCUGCCAUCGGUCAAAAACGUCAGCAGUGACGCUCAGCAGUGACGCUCAGCGCAACGAAUGGCCUUGGGGGGCCCUCUCGGGAGGCACAUGGCCAUACGACAACAUUCAGCCUCCCGAGCCAUUGGUGAGAAAUUCUACCCCUCCCGACGGUGGAAAAGCCAGACCUUCGUUGGCUAUGGGCAACGACUUGUAACAAUGAUAGCAAUGCCCGUUCGUUUUACCCAGGAUAGGCUGACGGAGUCUCAAGAAUCUUUUUUUUUUAACGAGGGUCUUGCUAACAAUUUGGAUGUUUGGCCAAUCUCCGUAUCAAAUCGGUCGAUCCAUGGCAUGCAUCGUUCCACCCGUAAAAAUGUGCGGCAAGGUUUCACCAGCCUGCAAUGACAAACGUGGGUGAAGUAUGGCGAAAUUACCCACACACACACCACCUCAUGCUCUGCACAGCGUAGGGAAACCCUCACGCAGCAGCGGAUUUACAAACGGGCCACCUUGGCAAAUGGGCAAGGUGUAACACAGACACAUAUCUCCUGCCCCCCCCCACCCCGUAACAUCUGAAACAGACUGUUGAAGCAAGUGCUGUAGGCCGGCACGGCACUACGAGGGGGUGUGUGGCUUAACAACCACGCCCGGCCGCCUUUGUCUCCCCAGUGUUGAUGUUUACACAUUUAAGACGGGAUUCAACCUAAGGUGGUUCGGUCAGGACCGCUUCGGAUAUAUUCAUCAACGAUGCUGGUGGCCGUGGGCGAGGGAAUCGAACUCUGGUCGCCGGGUUCGUUGGCGCAGUGUCGAUCACCCCCAAAGCAACUGGGUGAAGGGGUCGGCUCUUGAAAGUGACUGCUUUGUGAACUUAUCAAUUAAGGACGACCCUCUCGUGUUCACCAUUCACAAACAAAAGCACAUGCUCUUCUUGUUAUUUUCUGUUUUUCGAUCUCCCCUGGGUCUAUGAUUAUAACGACGACGACGCAUCAUCAUUACAAGCAACACCGAUCGUUGCGGCUCACGACUUUACGUCGCUGGGGACAACAAGAGUUUGUGGUCAAAGGUGAGGACCGCCACCCCUUUCCUCACCGGAGAGAGAGGCUAUAAUGUCCAAAGUCGUAAAAACCUCCGUCUAUAAACCGAGUUUCGCACGGGGCAAUGUCCUCCAACCUUUGCUACACGGCAGACAGCAAGUCCGGCCCCUUUAGAAGUGCUGCCUGCUUGCUGCUGCUGCUGAGGCUGAUGGUGGUGGUGGAUUGGGCUUUCGCAUGAUUCUCUCUUGCUUUCUCAUCUGCCAGGAGAUGCUCAAAGAAAAACCCAACGCCCAACGAGACUCUGCGACGCGUCACGCGUGUGACACACCCAGGUGACACAGGUGUGUGCAUAUAUAGACCGGAGAGGCUGGCAAGCUGCUUCAGUAUCGCCCGUGAACAAAACAAAUCGCUGCCUCUGUUUAAGCGUGGCAGAAAAUAAGAAGUAUUUCUAAAUAUAUACACACACUGCAAACUGUAGGGUUAAGAUGUCUCUCAAUCAACUUGACCAAGGCUUUGGGAAAACUACGCUCUUUGCUGGCAGGUCCUUGACGUCGACGGGAGAUGACGAGCCGAGUUCCUCGGAGUCUCCGCACCUGAGUCUGAUAGCCUUGCUCCUGCGGGGGCUGGGAGAUGACUUUUACAAAGAGUGCAAGCUAAGGAGGACGUGUGGUGUCAGGGCUGCCCCAUGUGUCCCAUGUUCCGUGAUUUCCCAAGGGACGCUCCUGCUGCUGCCCUCCUCUUGCAACCGGAUUCUGCAGUCGCUGUUCAGCUGGGCGGUGGGAGACUACACGGCGGCACCGCUCUUCGACUGGAGGCCAAAGAAAUGAUGGCGGCUGUCGGCGGCGUAGCGUGUGGUUGGCACGGGCUCCUGGUGCAAGGAACGACAAUGGGGCAUCCCGUGCAAUAUUCCGCCCCACUCUUUGCAGCCUGGCGCCUGGGUCUGAGCGCAGUUGCACCGCCUGCACACUCGACGGCGACGCCACCGGACGGCAUUAUGAUUCAUUCGAAGACGGCAGAUGAACGACGACAACUUCAACUACCUAUUAAUGUUAUAUUUGUUUCGCCCCAUUUUUGCCUCCAACAAUUGCGUUGCCCUCUGCAUCAUGUGUUGACGAAAUGAAGAGGUUGACAUUUGGAACUUUCGCAAUGAGCAGUGUGAGAUCAGUGUGAUGUCGCCGUGCGCCAAGGAAAAUCCACCGCAAGACGAUGUCACACGUGACACCUCCUUGUGGAUGUCCUGAAGCGGGUUGGAAGGUCUCACGGCACCCCGAGGGUGCCCUAGGACUCAUUGGUACUGCCCUGGCUGCCCUGGGGCUCGUUUGUUGUUAGUGCUUGGCAUGAGGUUCGCUCCCCCCCCCCACCCCACCCAACUGUGAUUAAUUUCAUGUCGGACAAGUAUCUUGAGAUGUCAUGAUAUAGAUGCUAUAUUUAAAUUGUUUGAGCAUUUUAUUUAUGAACUAAGUACCGUAUUUAUUGAUUUGCACAUUACGUUAAGCAUGUAAUAAUUCGUUCUACCUCGUCACGAUAAGAGGUCAUGAUUCGAUUGAAAAAUCGCUAUUUAAGUAGCAUCAAGACAAAGCUGCGUGACAUUUUUGUGUUUUCUUCCAGAAUGUUCAUCAGCUAAACGCAGACGAAAGAUAAACAUUAAAAUA